AAAACAACAGGGAUUGCCUCAGUAACGGCGGGUGAAGCGGCAACAGCUCAAAUUUGAAAUCUGCCGCAAGGCCGAGUUGUAAUUUGUAGAGGAUGCUUCUGGGCAGCGGCCGGUCUAAGUUCCUUGGAACAGGACGUCAUAGAGGGUGAGAAUCCCGUAUGCGACCGGUUGGCACCCGUCACGUAGCUCCUUCGACGAGUCGAGUUGUUUGGGAAUGCAGCUCUAAAUGGGUGGUAAAUUCCAUCUAAAGCUAAAUACCGGCCAGAGACCGAUAGCGCACAAGUAGAGUGAUCGAAAGAUGAAAAGCACUUUGGAAAGAGAGUUAAAAAGCACGUGAAAUUGUUGAAAGGGAAGCGCAUGCAACCAGACUUGUCGGCGGUGUUCCGCCGGUCUUCUGACCGGUCUACUCGCCGCCGACAGGCCAGCAUCGUGUGGGUGUGCCGGAUAAAGGCGUCGGGAAUGUGGCCCCUCGGGGUGUUAUAGCCCGGCGCAUAAUACGGUGCCGCCCGCGCGAGGUCCGCGCUUCGGCUAGGAUGCUGGCGUAAUGGUCGUAUGCGGCCCGUCUUGAAACACGGACCAAGGAGUCUAACAUCUGUGCGAGUGUUCGGGUGUCAAACCCCUACGCGGAAUGAAAGUGAACGGAGGUGGGAGCUUCGGCGCACCAUCGACCGAUCCUGAUGUCCUCGGAUGGAUUUGAGUAAGAGCAUAGCUGUUGGGACCCGAAAGAUGGUGAACUAUGCCUGAAUAGGGUGAAGCCAGAGGAAACUCUGGUGGAGGCUCGCAGCGGUUCUGACGUGCAAAUCGAUCGUCAAAUUUGGGUAUAGGGGCGAAAGACUAAUCGAACCAUCUAGUAGCUGGUUCCUGCCGAAGUUUCCCUCAGGAUAGCAGUAGCGUUUUCAGUUUUAUGA
Molecule: ribosomal RNA, 908 nt
Filed under: uncultured fungus
Lineage: Eukaryota; Fungi
Description: LSU rRNA
Rfam family: Eukaryotic large subunit ribosomal RNA
Source: RNAcentral